UUCUAAGGAUGGUUCUUCAGAAGCUUGCUUCUAUCGAACCGUUUUAGAAACAUCAGUGGCCAACGAUCGUCAGGAUUGUUGAGCUGCAUUGGCGGGAUUUCGCCGUCUUCGUUUCUCUUUCUUCGCGGACGAACACGCGCUGGGCCUGCGAGAGCAGGGUCCCUGGUCCUUGACGGGAUAUGCGUUAGGGGCUUGUAGCUCAGUUGGUUAGAGCGCGCGCUUGAUAAGCGUGAGGUCGGAAGUUCAAGUCUUCCCAGGCCCACCACACUCAUCGGGUAAGCAUUCGUCUUCUGGUUACGGGGCCAUAGCUCAGCUGGGAGAGCGCGUGCUUUGCAAGCAUGAGGUCGUCGGUUCGAUCCCGUCUGGCUCCACCAGAUGGUUUGAUCACCGAGGCUGUGUUUGCAGGUAUUCAACCGUCGUCCGCGAAACAUCACUUCGCACCUGCUAGUCUGGAUAGACAGUAAGGUGCGUGAUUUCUGACAUCGUAAAGAGGAGAUCGAUCCGAGUUGGAUCGGGCAGCAAGCAAUUGCUGCGCGAACCUUCAUUAUCUCCGGAUCAUUUCGGCGCUCGCGCGCCUUUCAAUGCGGCUCACAAGGCUGCGUCUGAAGGGAAUGCGGGUUGUAAAUGAUCCUUUUAGCGAAGCUUGACCGCCUCGCUAUCGGAACGAUCUUACGAAGCAAGCUGGUCUUUCUAAUCAUUGUCCGGCUGUACGUAGCGUUCAUCGAGGGCGCGUGCCGUAAGG
This 742-nucleotide transfer RNA is filed under the name Bradyrhizobium sp. RNAcentral's name for it is "partial miscellaneous RNA". The stretch from base 189 to 262 matches the Rfam family "tRNA". Lineage: Bacteria; Pseudomonadati; Pseudomonadota; Alphaproteobacteria; Hyphomicrobiales; Nitrobacteraceae. The record is from RNAcentral.